This 502-nucleotide ribosomal RNA is filed under the name fungal endophyte sp. CEY 01. RNAcentral's name for it is "eukaryotic LSU rRNA". The stretch from base 162 to 315 matches the Rfam family "5.8S ribosomal RNA". The record is from RNAcentral. Lineage: Eukaryota; Fungi.
UGAGGNCCUUACNGAAUGAAAAGCGCUUAACUGCAUUUUUUCUUACACAUGUGUUUUUCUUUUUUUGAAAACUUUGCUUUGGUAGGCCUUCUAUAUGGGGCCUGCCAGAGAUUAAACUCAACCAAAUUUUAUUUAAUGNCAACCGAUUAUUUAAUAGUCAAAACUUUCAACAACGGAUCUCUUGGUUCUCGCAUCGAUGAAGAACGCAGCGAAAUGCGAUAAGUAAUAUGAAUUGCAGAUAUUCGUGAAUCAUCGAAUCUUUGAACGCACAUUGCGCCCUUUGGUAUUCCAAAGGGCAUGCCUGUUUGAGCGUCAUUUCUCCCUCAAACCCUCGGGUUUGGUGUUGAGCGAUACGCUGGGUUUGCUUGAAAGAAAGGCGGAGUAUAAACUAAUGGAUAGGUUUUUUCCACUCAUUGGUACAAACUCCAAAACUUCUUCCAAAUUCGACCUCAAAUCAGGUAGGACUACCCGCUGAACUUAAGCAUAUCAAUAAGCGGAGGAA